GGCUCAGGACGAACGCUGGCGGCGUGCCUAACACAUGCAAGUCGAACGGAGUUAAGCCCUUCGGGACUUAACUUAGUGGCGAACGGGUGAGUAACGCGUGAGGAACCUGCCUUUCAGUGGGGGACAACAGUUGGAAACGACUGCUAAUACCGCAUGAUGCUUUUGAGAGACAUCUCUUGGAAGCCAAAGCUUAAUGUGCUGAAAGAUGGCCUCGCGUCUGAUUAGCUAGUUGGUGGGGUAACGGCUCACCAAGGCGACGAUCAGUAGCCGGUCUGAGAGGAUGAACGGCCACAUUGGGACUGAGAUACGGCCCAGACUCCUACGGGAGGCAGCAGUGGGGAAUAUUGGGCAAUGGGCGAAAGCCUGACCCAGCAACGCCGCGUGAAGGAAGAAGGCUUUCGGGUUGUAAACUUCUUUUACCAGGGACGAAGGACGUGACGGUACCUGGAGAAAAAGCAACGGCUAACUACGUGCCAGCAGCCGCGGUAAUACGUAGGUUGCAAGCGUUGUCCGGAUUUACUGGGUGUAAAGGGGCGUGUAGGCGGAGAUGCAAGUUAGGAGUGAAAUCUAUGGGCUCAACCCAUAAACUGCUUCUAAAACUGUAUCCCUUGAGUGUCGGAGAGGCAAGCGGAAUUCCUAGUGUAGCGGUGAAAUGCGUAGAUAUUAGGAGGAACACCAGUGGCGAAGGCGGCUUGCUGGACGACAACUGACGCUGAGGCGCGAAAGCGUGGGGAGCAAACAGGAUUAGAUACCCUGGUAGUCCACGCUGUAAACGAUGAAUACUAGGUGUGGGGGGACUGACCCCCUCCGUGCCGCAGUUAACACAAUAAGUAUUCCACCUGGGGAGUACGACCGCAAGGUUGAAACUCAAAGGAAUUGACGGGGGCCCGCACAAGCAGUGGAUUAUGUGGUUUAAUUCGACGCAACGCGAAGAACCUUACCAGGACUUGACAUCCAACUAACGAAGUAGAGAUACAUCAGGUGCCCUUCGGGGAAAGUUGAGACAGGUGGUGCAUGGUUGUCGUCAGCUCGUGUCGUGAGAUGUUGGGUUAAGUCCCGCAACGAGCGCAACCCCUAUUGUUAGUUGCUACGAAAGAGCACUCUAGCGAGACUGCCGUUGACAAAACGGAGGAAGGCGGGGACGACGUCAAAUCAUCAUGCCCCUUAUGUCCUAGGCUACACACGUAAUACAAUGGUGGCCAACAGAGGGAAGCAAAGCCGCGAGGUGGAGCAAAUCCCUAAAAGCCAUCUCAGUUCGGAUUGCAGGCUGCAACUCGCCUGCAUGAAGCUGGAAUAACUAGUAAUCGCGGAUCAGCAUGCCGCGGUGAAU
RNAcentral lists this ribosomal RNA (1330 nucleotides) under uncultured bacterium. Its description in RNAcentral is "bacterial SSU rRNA". It matches the Rfam family "Bacterial small subunit ribosomal RNA", at positions 21 to 1367 of the family's 1533-position model. The record is from RNAcentral.